Gasterosteus aculeatus aculeatus (three-spined stickleback) is the source of this 2533-nucleotide non-coding RNA. NCBI's taxonomy places the organism in Eukaryota, Metazoa, Chordata, Actinopteri, Perciformes, Gasterosteidae. The record is from RefSeq and is a predicted model, not a curated record.
GGCGGACCAAACUCCGUAGAAUAGGGUGUCCCUGCUCCAUCUCGCCACAAGUUUGGGGGACCUUGGCUUGAAAAACGCUGAAGACCUCUGAUCUAAGAAAUGCCAAAGACUGCAGCACCAACUGAACUGUCAAUCAACCGAGGACCCAUCACAGUUAGCCCUCAUAGGGAUAUAUUUGACUUCCUGCCUGUCCGCGUCAUUCUUUAAUGCAAAGGAUGAGAAAACACCUGCCUGUCCUUGCCUCAAUUGCCUUUGGCUCUGAGAUUCUGGAUCAGCUCAUAACGACCAGGACAUCCUGCCACCACUGCAGCAGCAGAGCAGAUGUUGAAGGACCGUCUUAACUGUUCAUCAUCAGUGGACACUUGCUGGACCACAGAGACACGUGUUCUCCCUGCCAGUGUUGAGGUUUCUUCACAACAGAUAAUAAGGUCUCCCUCCUCUGUGAUUCCUCCACUUCACAGUGAAGACACUCAGGACUGCAGAGAGGGCUGAACACAUAAAAGAAGCUCAACAUCAUGCAGCGUAUUCGGUUGCACUGUACGUAUAUGUUGAUCUGCUGUGCAGCACAGUUCAAGGAUCAGGUGUGUGACUGCAAGAAAGAGUCAUCAGUCAGUCAUCACUGUCCCAGUGACAGCGCCACCUUUAUGCAGCUUCAAGCUCCUCCCUAAACCAGCUAUAAAGGCCUCUUCUCCUCCAUGUUGCUAUAGUAACACUAUCCUGACGUGAUGACUGGAGCCUGCAUAGGUCAAAGGUCAUAAUGUUACAGGUCUUUAAAGCAUACACUACUAACUCAUGAACAGUAUUACUGCAGGACACCUGUCUAUUUUGUUUGUUUCAUCUCUACCGUAUUUGAUCUAACAAUAUUGUUUUCUUUAUGUUUCAUUACAUUUUACAUUCAUUUUUGAUAUAGUUGGUAUUUCUUUAUGUCAUCCAUCCGUUCUCAGUCAGUUUUCUAAAAGAUAUAUGAGGAAAUUAAGGAUGAAAAUGUUUGUUUGAUUGCCUCGUGUACACGAACAAAUUAACCUUGAAGAAAUUACAUAUUUGUAUCACAAUGAGUCAUUAUGGGGUUUCAGCUGGUAGGUAUACUCAAGGUUUUUCACAUGUGUACACCGAUCCUUAGGAUAACCCAAACUCUACUGAGACUGCACAGUGUUAAAUUGUACGACUGUGAAAUCCAUCAAGUGUGUCAUCUUCAGAGGCUAAAACAUGACUUGGUGCAAAGAGCCUUGUCAAAAGAUUUAAUAGGAAAACAAAUCCUACAAAGCUUGUGUCCUAACUGUGAGUCAACAAGUGACUCCAACCCAAUGUUUCAUCAAAGUAAGGAGAACCCAGUGUGUCUGUGAGCCUCAGUAAACUGAGCUUAACGUUGGGAUAGUCUAAAUGACAAUGUUGACAAGACUUAUCUUUCCAGGGCUUGAAGACCUUGAAGUCUUGAACUGAGUAUUAACCUAGGUCUGGAAACAAUGUGAAAAGCCUCUGUUUGUAGGAAAUGAACCAUAUUGUUAACUGUUGAAACUAUAGUAAAUGUAUUCAUGAAUAUAAAAAAAGGGACCAAUGUUGACAAAACUGUGUUAAUAAAUUUCUCACUCUAAGAUUUUAUCUUCCACGAAAUACAUUAUGGUCAAUACAACAGUACUUGUGCACUGUACUUAGCUAUAUUGUUUUAUUAUAUUUCGAUAGAAGAUAAUGAGUCAAAAAAGUAUGUAAAGACGGGAUGUAAAUGCAUCUUUAGAAAUAUAGCACACACCUCAAACUACUAGUAGUGACAAAAUAAUGUUCUGAUCUGUGGUAUACAUCUAUUUAAAAAGUUUUUCUUUUGUGGGAUCUCUGUGCAUAAAAACGGCUUCUGCAGAAAGCGUUUCCUUUUUCUUAAUUAAUAUUUCCAAUUCUCUGUUUUUAAUUCACUUGAGAGCACUUAAAUUAUGAUGAAUCAAUUUAACUGUAACUUAUUUCAGAUUAAUAAGUCAUUCUUACUUGAACAAUUAAAUAUACAAAGAGAAAACCAUUUUUACUUUGCCAGUUUUGAUUUCCACGCGUACAGAGACCAAUAUAUUAGGCUGUUCCGUAUGUUAGUCUUGACAUGCUAAUACUAAUUACUGUUUUAAUUAUUUUUAAAUUGUUGAUUCACAAAAUUGGAUUCUAAAUGUAAACAAAUAAAAUGUUUGUCAUGAGGUCACUGUCUGCUUUACACUCGAUACAACACUGUAACUACUACUGAUUUUUACGACUACACCUGCUGCUGCUACAGUUACUAUUGAUAUACAAAUGCUGCUACUACGACUGCUACUACUGCAGCCCUCGAUACUAAUACUGCUAAUAUUACUCCUGAAUGCUAUUUCUGCAGAUUCUGAUUCUAUAUUUCAGUUCAGUUUCACUUCUUCAAGUACUUCUACAGUUUAACAGUGCAGCUUUCGGCGUCUUUUUUGUUGUAUUUCAGCUCUAUAUCUUUCACACUGCCACUUUUGCCAAUCUUUCAGCUACAGACACCAUUUCAACUUUCAAAUGUUGACACAAGUCUCAACUAUUUUUUUGA